GGGCAUCUAAAAUAUGACUUCAGAAAUUAUGUAAUCAUAAGAACAUGAUAUGUUUCCUUCCUUUCUUGCUGGAUUUUAUGUUCUGAUUUGGUUGUUCUCCUAAAAUGCGUGUUAUGAGAGAUUAAACAAUUUUUUUGCAAGAAUUUAGAAAGAUGUUAAAAAUCUAAAGCAAAAAGUCUUAACUAUCUCCCAGCUGGGAGAAAAUGCUUUAACAUUACUAUAAUAAUAUUCCAGGUUUGGAGUG
This 244-nucleotide long non-coding RNA is filed under the name Bos taurus (domestic cattle). RNAcentral describes it as "long non-coding RNA NONBTAT011629". The record is from RNAcentral. Lineage: Eukaryota; Metazoa; Chordata; Mammalia; Artiodactyla; Bovidae.